UGCCAGUGUGACGUAUAAUCUAAUGGACGGGACGCUCCUUCAACAACAACAGCUAGUCAGACACCUCGGUAGCAUUCGAGCAAACAUAGCUACAACAUUCACGCUCUUUACAAUGUUUUGGUGUAUAUUAGUCGCUGUGUAUUAAACACACUUCUGUCGUAUGUACUUUUUGGCCCAUUUAAUUAUAUAUGUACGUUGUUUGUCAGCUAGCUGGUUUGCUAAGUUAGCUUAGAACUAGGCUAGUCGCUAAUGCUAGCUAGCUAACAUCCCCGACCAUGAGUUCACUAAGCUACUCUCCUUCUGAUAAAGAAGUGGUCUGCUGGACGGAGAAUGAAACUCUCGUGAAAAAGGAGGAGGAAGAGAGGGAUGUUACAAUACAAAAACAAGUAGAGGGUGAGGCUGUUACAGUGAAAGAAGAAGAGAAAGACGUUACAGUGAAAGAAGAGGAAGACGCGUUCAGAGUGAAAGAGGAAGAUGUUACAGUAAAAUAAUAGGAGGAAGAGAAAGAGGAGGAGGGGAAGAUGACUGUCACAUUGGAAGAGGAGGUUGGAGAUCUUUUUAACACCAGAGAGAGACGGGACUACCGUCAACAACAUCAUGAUGCAGAGAAACACCUCAAGAAACACCCGGAGAGAUCCACAGGAGAGAAAUCUAACCACUGUUUUUACUGUGGGAAGAGUUACUCAUGUUCAGAUUCACUAAAAGUACACAAGUGAAUUCAAACAGGAGAGAAACCUUAUAGCUGUGAUCAAUGUGGGAAGAGGUUUACUCAGUCAGGCUGUCUGAUAGUGCACCAGAGAACACACACAGGAGAGAAGUCUAACCACUGUUUUAGCUGUGGGAAAAGAUUCUCAAGAUCAGAUUCACUAAAAGUACACCAAAGAAUUCACACAGGAGAGAAAUCUUUCUGCUGCUCUUACUGUGGGAAACAUUACUCAAGAUUAAAUUCACUACAAGGACACCUGAGAAUUCACACGGGAGAGAAAUCUUAUAGCUGUGAUCAAUGUGAGAAGAGUUUUGCUCAGUCAGGCAUCCUGAAAUCACACCAGAGAACACACACUGGAGAGAAACCUUAUGGCUGUGAUCAAUGUGGGAAGAGGUUUGUUGCAUCUAACUAUCUGACGACACAUCAGAGAACACACACAGAGAAAUCUUACGGCUGUAAUCAAUGUGGGAAGAGUUUUACUCAGCCAAACAUUCUGAUAGUACAUCUGAGAACACACACAGGAGAGAAAUCUCAUAGCUGUGAUCAAUGUGGGAAGAGAUACUCUGAUAAAAGAUCUCUGCUCAAACAUCAGAAAAUACAUGAAGGAGUUGUUUCAUGAUAUCAAUAAAAUGAUGUCACAAUGUAGAAUGUGUUAACAUUGUAGUAGGAGUAUUUUAAUGAUGUCACAAUGUAUAAUGUUUUAACAUUGUAGUAGGAGUAUUUUAAUGAUGUUAUAAUGUAGAAGCCUAAACGUUUGUCCCCUGUUCUAUUGAUUUCAACAUGAUAUGGAUAUUAGCCUCAGAGGGAAAAUCCAGGCUCUGAAUUGAAUGAGUACUAUUUAUGUGAUUUAACAAAAAGUGACGAACAAAAAGAGUUGGGUUAUACUUACCACGUUGGUGACCCACUUGAAUCAAAAUGCAGCACUUAAAUGUAGCGAGCUGUUUUCUAGAAAUUGUCCUCUAACCAGUGAUGUACACAUUAUUCCCAGAUUCUGUGUGGUUUUUGAGCUGUUAAUUUGAACAGAAUUUCCCCCCUCUCUCGCUCAAUAUGAGUGAUGACAAAUAAGUGUUGCGUUUCUCUUAGUGUUGGGGACCCAUAAACUCAAAAUGUAGCUGACUGUCUUCUCCAGGUUGUCCUCUAACCAGUGAGGUAAAAGAUAUCUCCCAUUCCCAUGUUUUUUUGUUGUUGUGUUAGUUUCAACAGCACGUACAAUCUGAUUUCCCCGCUAAUCGAUAUCAGUGAUUUAAUUUCAAUGUACUUGCAGCCUAUACACAUGGACACAGUAUAAUAAAUUUGUCUAUAAUCAAUUUUAUUAACAA
Long non-coding RNA from Salvelinus fontinalis (brook trout), 2025 nucleotides. RefSeq lists it as uncharacterized. The transcript has 2 exons. The record is from RefSeq and is a predicted model, not a curated record. NCBI's taxonomy places the organism in Eukaryota, Metazoa, Chordata, Actinopteri, Salmoniformes, Salmonidae.